AGAGUUUGAUCCUGGCUCAGAGUGAACGCUGGCGGCAGGCCUAACACAUGCAAGUCGAACGGCAGCACAGAGGAGCUUGCUCCUUGGGUGGCGAGUGGCGGACGGGUGAGGAAUGCGUCGGAAUCUGCCUAUUUGUGGGGGAUAACGUAGGGAAACUUACGCUAAUACCGCAUACGACCUACGGGUGAAAGUGGGGGACCGCAAGGCCUCACGCAGAUAGAUGAGCCGACGCCGGAUUAGCUAGUUGGCGGGGUAAAGGCCCACCAAGGCGACGAUCCGUAGCUGGUCUGAGAGGAUGAUCAGCCACACUGGGACUGAGACACGGCCCAGACUCCUACGGGAGGCAGCAGUGGGGAAUAUUGGACAAUGGGCGCAAGCCUGAUCCAGCCAUGCCGCGUGUGUGAAGAAGGCCUUCGGGUUGUAAAGCACUUUUGUCCGGAAAGAAAUCCAAUCGAUUAAUACUCGGUUGGGAUGACGGUACCGGAAGAAUAAGCACCGGCUAACUUCGUGCCAGCAGCCGCGGUAAUACGAAGGGUGCAAGCGUUACUCGGAAUUACUGGGCGUAAAGCGUGCGUAGGUGGUUUGUUAAGUCUGAUGUGAAAGCCCUGGGCUCAACCUGGGAACUGCAUUGGAUACUGGCUUACUAGAGUGCGGUAGAGGGUAGCGGAAUUCCCGGUGUAGCAGUGAAAUGCGUAGAUAUCGGGAGGAACAUCUGUGGCGAAGGCGGCUACCUGGACCAGCACUGACACUGAGGCACGAAAGCGUGGGGGAGCAAACAGGAUUAGAUACCCUGGUAGUCC
RNAcentral lists this ribosomal RNA (800 nucleotides) under uncultured bacterium. Its description in RNAcentral is "bacterial SSU rRNA". It matches the Rfam family "Bacterial small subunit ribosomal RNA", at positions 8 to 796 of the family's 1533-position model. The record is from RNAcentral.